This 505-nucleotide ribosomal RNA is filed under the name uncultured bacterium. RNAcentral describes it as "partial 16S ribosomal RNA". It matches the Rfam family "Bacterial small subunit ribosomal RNA", at positions 28 to 507 of the family's 1533-position model. The record is from RNAcentral.
GACGAACGCUGGCGGCGUGCCUAAUACAUGCAAGUAGAACGCACAGUUUAUACCGUAGCUUGCUACACCAUAGACUGUGAGUUGCGAACGGGUGAGUAACGCGUAGGUAACCUGCCUGGUAGCGGGGGAUAACUAUUGGAAACGAUAGCUAAUACCGCAUAAUAUUAAUUAUUGCAUGAUAAUUAAUUGAAAUGUGCAAUUGCACCACUACCAGAUGGACCUGCGUUGUAUUAGCUAGUAGGUGAGGUAACGGCUCACCUAGGCGACGAUACAUAGCAGACCUGAGAGGGGGAUCGGCCAAACUGGGAAUGAGACAAGGCCCAGACUACUACGGGAGGCAGCAGUAGGGAAUCUUCGGAAAUGGACGAAAGUCUGACCGAGCAACGCCGCGUGAGUGAAGAAGGUUUUCGGAUCGUAAAGCUCCGUUGUAAGAGAAGAACGGGUGUGAGAGUGGAAAGUUCACACUGUGACGGUAUCUUACCAGAAAGGGACGGCUAACUACGUG